UGGGGAAUAUUGGACAAUGGGCGAAAGCCUGAUCCAGCCAUGCCGCGUGUGUGAAGAAGGUCUUCGGAUUGUAAAGCACUUUAAGUUGGGAGGAAGGGCAUUAACCUAAUACGUUAGUGUUUUGACGUUACCGACAGAAUAAGCACCGGCUAACUCUGUGCCAGCAGCCGCGGUAAUACAGAGGGUGCAAGCGUUAAUCGGAAUUACUGGGCGUAAAGCGCGCGUAGGUGGUUUGUUAAGUUGGAUGUGAAAUCCCCGGGCUCAACCUGGGAACUGCAUUCAAAACUGACUGACCAGAGUAUGGUAGAGGGUGGUGGAAUUUCCUGUGUAGCGGUGAAAUGCGUAGAUAUAGGAAGGAACACCAGUGGCGAAGGCGGCCCCCUGGACAAAGACUGACGCUCAGGUGCGAAAGCGUGGGGAGCAAACA
Molecule: ribosomal RNA, 427 nt
Filed under: uncultured bacterium
Lineage: Bacteria
Description: partial 16S ribosomal RNA
Rfam family: Bacterial small subunit ribosomal RNA
Source: RNAcentral